GGCGGCACGCCGCAGGGGUACUCUUCCCCGUCGUCUUCGGACGCGAUGCGGGAGAUGAUCUUCCACAUCGCGGCGCUGCAGCCGGUGGAGGUCGACCCGGAGGCGGUGCGCCCGCCGAAGCGCCGCAACGUGCGGACCUCCAAGGACCCGCAGAGCGUGGCGGCGAGGCUGCGGCGGGAGCGCAUCAGCGAGCGGAUCCGCGUCCUGCAGCGCCUCGUCCCCGGCGGCACCAAGAUGGACACCGCCUCCAUGCUCGACGAGGCCAUCCACUACGUCAAGUUCCUCAAGUCCCAGGUGCAGUCGCUCGAGCUCGCCGCCGCCGCCACCGGCGCGGCCGCCCACCGUGCCGCUGCCUUCGCCUACCCCGCCCUUCAGCACGCGCCGUGGUAG
This 390-nucleotide ribosomal RNA is filed under the name Triticum aestivum (bread wheat). RNAcentral's name for it is "partial small subunit ribosomal RNA". The record is from RNAcentral. Lineage: Eukaryota; Viridiplantae; Streptophyta; Magnoliopsida; Poales; Poaceae.